CAGUUACCCGUUGGUCACCGUGGAGGGAGGACGUAUGCACUCGCCCCCUCCCGCUCCGAGCUGACUUACUUGCCUGCCUCGCUCCGCUCCUCGCGUUCGCCGCCGAGGAAGCCGCACGCGACGCUGCCCUCCCGAUAAGGACUUUCUGGGAACUUUACGGCUUUGUUAGUGAAGUUAAAGUGCUUGGAAGUAAAGGGAAAUAAAGGAAAGUGAAGGAAGAGAUCUUAGUGCUGUCGUAAAUGGUGAAAUUGAAGCUCUGAGUGAAUGAAAAGAGAGAGAAAAAGGUAAUCAUACAACACCGUGAUAUUUUGGUGAGUAGUCGUGUGUGCGUGAGUUCGUGCACGUGUUGUAGCCUUCUAAAGUGGACAGGAAAAAAAGGGUGCCAAGAAAUAUAUACCACUGAGAAGUAUACACCACUCAAGGCAGCGUGGCACAUGAGUAUCGCCUGGAGAAGGGUAACAUGUGGGGGCAGGCAGCGUGACGAGCGUGUCUACUGACCUCCUGCCUCUGUCUGUACCUCCUGCGCCACCUUCCCUGGGCACACCUGUCUCGCGGCCUAAUGACAUGAGGCGUAGGUGAGAUACGCCUCCGGGGGCCUCCUGAGAAAACAGGGAAAACUGUGUGUGUGUGCGUGUGUGCGAUAAAUAGAUAAGCAACAGAUAUAAACUUGAAGGCAUGGCGAGGAGGCCGCGGGUGGAGAAGGAGGAGGAGGAGGAGGAGGAUGUGGAGUGUAGUGGAGGUACAGGAUUCACGUUACCAGUCCAAUGUCACCACCACGCCAGCAGGGUAGUGGUGGUGGUGACGGUGGCGACUAUGAUGGUGAUGCAGGCCGCCACUCAAGCCUCCGCCGCCGCCACUAUCACCGCAGCCAUGCAGCACGGACUCGAAGAAAGCACUGAGGCUGAAGAGAGUCCCCUCUCAGUGGUGUUCGCGGUGGAGGGCGGCCGCGUGCUGCUACCCUGUGAUGUGUCCCCGCCCGUGCCUACCGACUCCACCAUCCUCGUCCUGUUCUACCACGGCGCUACGGGGACACCCAUCUACAGCAUCGACGGGCGGAGUGGCCUGAUCGAGGGCGGGCGGCACUGGCAGGACAAGAACAUGCUGGGUACUCGCGCUUACUUCGACAUGGCCUCUGAGCCGCCCGGUCUGGUGCUGCAGCCCGUCAAUGCCUCCGACCACGCCGAGUACCGAUGCCGGGUAGACUUCCGCUCCUCCCCCACCAGGAAUGUGCGCGUGCAGCUUGAAGUGAUAGUGCCGCCCAAGAAGAUCCGCAUUCUGAACGAGGAGGGCCUGGAAGUGAGCGGCGUGAUCGGUCCCUACCCACUCGGCGCCUCCCUCACCCUCAUCUGCCAGGUGGACACAGGUCGGCCCCGCCCCACACUGUCCUGGUUCUUUGAGGAGAAGCUGCUGGACGACGCGGUGGAGGUGCGGCGCGGGAAGGUCACCAGCAACACCCUUCACCUGCCCUCGCUUGACCGGAAUUACUUGUACCGAGUCCUCACCUGCCAAGCCUCCAACUCCAACCUGUCUGUGCCUGUCGCCGCUACCGUCACUUUGGAUAUGAGCUUCCCGCCGCUGGACGUGAGGAUCAUGGGGACGCGCGCCAGUCUAGCAGAGGGGCAGCGGUACGCCAUCGUGUGUGAGUCCUCAGGAUCCCGGCCCUCCGCGACUAUUACCUGGUGGAAGAACGGCAUGAUGAUGACUGACACCAAGAAUCAGAUUUUCAACGAAGGUAACGUGAGCCGCUCCACUCUCUACCUUACGCCGAGUUUGGCCGACGAUAAUGUGUACGUGUCAUGCCGCGCCAAGAACCCUCUGGUGCCUAACGCGGUGCUUGAGGACUCCAGGAAGCUAAACGUGCACUACACGCCGCGGCUGUCCCUGGCGGCGGGGCUCAACCUGGACAUGGAGGACAUCAAAGAAGGAGACGAUGUGUACUUCGAGUGUGGAAUUAAAGCCAAUCCACCAGUGUUCAAAGUGCAGUGGUUCCAUAACGGCGAGGAGCUGAACCACAACGUGUCGGCGGGUUUGAUCCAGAGCAACCAGAGCCUCGUGCUGCAGCAGGUGACGCGGCGCUCCUCUGGCCAGUACACAUGUUCCGCCACCAACCUCCAUGGCAUCGGCAGCUCCAACGCAGUGCAGCUCAGCGUCAAGUUCGCCCCCACGUGCCGGCCCGCUCAGAAGAUAGUGUAUGGAGUCGGAAAACACGAAGAGCUCAACGUUACCUGCAGUGUUGAAGCGCAUCCAGAGCCGGCUUCCUUCAGGUGGGCGUUCAACAGUUCUUCAGAGGUGGUGGACAUUCCCUCUACCAAGUUCUGGGUGGUGGGUAACGGUAAGAGUCAAGCCUCGUACACUCCCCGCACGCACCUUGACUACGGCUCGCUGUUGUGCUGGGCUAACAAUGAGGUGGGAAGACAGCAGGAACCUUGCAUCUACCACAUCAUCCACGCCUCCACCCCGGAGCCCGUCAACAACUGCACAGUACAGAAUGUGAGCUCGACCAGCGCCUCGGUGCGGUGUCAAGCGGGCUGGGAUGGAGGCCUCGCGCAAACCUUUACCCUCUCCGUCACACCUGCCCGUGCCUCCGCCCCGAACUCCGGCACCAGGGACGACGAGGGCAAGAAGGAAGCCGCGCCAAGGGUCCUCGCCAACACCUCCACCUCUCCGAAGCCUGAGUUCUACCUGACGGGGCUGGAGCCUGGGACCAAGUACGUGCUGACGAUCAUGGGCGUGAACAAGAAGGGCGAGAGUGAGCCAAUGCGUCUGGCCAUCUUUACUCUGAAGGACGUGGCUGAGAAGAGGACCAGCCCAGGUACGGGCUUGCUGGCCUUCACGCCCAUCCUAGCUGUGCUGCUGGGCGUGGUGGUGUCUCUCAUCCUCAUGGCGCUGGUCAUCGCCCUAGUGGUCAGGUCACGGCGGCCGAGGGACAACCGGAAGCAGGAGGUCAAGAUGGUUUACGACAAGGGCGCGUCUGGGUCAACCACUGCACCGCUGAGAGGAGCCACGGCCGCUGAUGAUGAGGACCUCUCAUCGACCGCUGGCGCUACAGCUAACGAGGACUCCAACCCCGACGUGAUCCCCGUGAACGAUGACCACCAGGUGAAGGAGCUACAGACGCACACAUACACCGCCGAGACUUUGCCUAUGACAGAAAUCCACCAGCGCCACCAGCAGCUGCAGAAAUCUCCGCCCACCUCCCCAGCAUCCAGCCAGCUCAUGUCCAGCCCGCAGCAGCAACAACAGCAGCUGGCAGGGACGGCAGAGUACUUACAGGGUCACGAUGGAUCCUUCUACAUCAACCCUGGGAAUCUGAUGCGGCAGAAGGGUAUGUCGGUGGUGCCGCGUGAGGGAGGAGACCCCGGGACGCUGCUUCACAUGGGGCGUCCUCUGGCAGCCUCCUCGCCCGCAGCCCGCGCCGCCCCGCCCACACUAGGCAUGUUGAGCAGCAGCAGCAGCGGCACGGCCACCCCAGAGGGCGCAGCGACACCCCUACUGGACCACCCUCGCAAGGCCGCAAGAGGCAGUCUCCGGGACGACCCCCGCGAGGCCCCGAUAAGAUCACUACCGCUCGAAAGCUUCCUACGAGAUUCCCCCAGCAGCUCAAAGUUAAGCACCUCCAAGAUCAGUGCCUCGAGCAGCUUCCGGAUGCCUCGCUCAAAGAGCCCCUCAGAGACCUGCAGGAGUGUUUCCGGCAGCUUGAAGAACGGAGACCCAAGGAGGAGUCCCACGAGGACACAUCUCAGUCCCUCAAGAAGCUUCAAGCUGGAACUUCCCGAGAGCGCCAAACAGGCUCUCAGCGCUCACAGGAGGGAGGGGCCCGGCAGUUUCAAGGGAGAACUGUCAGUGCGCUCCAAGUUAGAGGUGCCGGAACCAGUGCGACGCAAUUCCAUCGGCAGCAUCGGGCCAGGGAUGCCGGAGGGCCUGAUAGAGAUCCUGACGAAGGAACAGUCAAAGUGCCGUCGACGGGAAUCCCUGGAGGUCCCGAGCCUCUUCAGCAAAGAUCGCACGGGCGCCCUAAGACGAGGCUCCAUCGGCAGCUUCGGGAUCAUCACUCCAGAGAACGUGAGGAAAUCCUCUCUGGGAAGCUGCAAGGUUCACUCCACACAGAGAAGUCCCUCCGGAAGUCUGAGAAGCCCCAGCAAGAGCAGCAGGAAGGACUCACUCGGCAGCCUGGCAGGGGACUCUCCAAGGAAGAGCCCCUCAGACAAUUACAAGAACGAUUUCGGGAAUUGCAAGCUUCACACGCCAAAGCGAAGCCCUUCCGAGGGAUUUCAGAGAGAGGUCAAGGGAAGCCUCAAACUGGAGCCCCCGACCAAGAGCUCGUCCUUCUGCUUCCAGAGGGAGACAGCGCGCAGCUUGAAGAUAGACCCAAGCAGGAAUGUGGCGGAACUAAUCCAAAGAGAAUUUUCGAGGAGCCUCAAGGUGGAGUCCUCGAGGAGGAGUCCCUCGGGUGGUCAUCAAAGAGAGUCACCGAGUGCGAGGAAGAGUCCCUCUGGGAGCUACAAGAGUCCCUCCGGCAGCUUCAAGGCCCUAGCAGAGAACCAGCACCUACGGAGGAAGAGUUGCUCAGGCGGCUUCGUCUUGGAGGCCCCGAAGAGAGAGUCCUCGGGAGGCUUAAGCGCAGAGGCUCCCAGGAAGGGUUCGACGGGAAGCUUCAAACUAGAAACACCAAAAGUGAGUCCAUCGGGCAGCACAUCAAGGGAGUCCCCGGGGAGCCGCAUGCUGGACACGUCCCGGUGCUCCAGGAAAGGCUCUUGGGCCAGCCCCACCGGAGGCUCCCCCAACCGCCACAGAAGGAGCCCACAGUGGUCCUCCCCACAGGAAGCCGGAGCUCUCGUGCUAGCCUCGCCAGGAAGCCUCAUGGUGGACCCGCCAUGGAGCACCCGGAAAAGCUCUCUGGGCACCCUGUCGGCCAGGCCGGCGUCUCUGGAGAGUCUCCUGUCGACCUCGGAGCUAGGCGCAGUGGUGCAAGUGUCCCCCGGCAGCGGCGAAACGGACGUUCUCGGCAACUUCAAGAUCGACUCAUCCAAGGAAGGUCACCUGGUGGUGACCCAGAUGAAGGGAUCACCCUCCUCUCAACAAGGUUCUAGUCAGCCAGACAAACUACGCAUUGUCUGCCCUCUGGACACCAAGAUCAGAAUAGAGCUUAAGAUGGACUAACUCAACGCAGUCUCUGAAGAUGAAGAGUGAACGCACGAUCCUGCGGGGAUGGGUAGACUCAGAGCCAGUAAGCUUAGCACUGUUGUGAUGUUGGGUGUGUAUGUGUAUGCGCUGCGAGGGAAUGCUGCUGUGAACAAUAGCACAAACAUACCAACGGCAAGAUAAAUUACCUAUUUCUCAGCUGGGAAAUCCUCAACUUGUAAUGAGGAAUUCCCACACAAACAUGUAGUGUAAACAAAGACCGAACCGGAAAACGGUGAGGAAGUGCAUGCAGUGACUGGAGUGCGUGUGUGAGCCGAGGACCAGCCACCGAUGCACGCUAGUGAGUCAAAACACAUGGUGUUUAUGUGGAAUACCUCUCAUGGACUGCACUGAGAGAGAGAGAGAGAGAGAGAGAGAGAGAGAGAGAGAGAGAGAGAGAGAGAGAGAGAGAGAGAGAGAGAGAGAGAGAGAGAGAGAGAGAGAGAGAGAGAGAGAGCGUGGGAGAGUGUAUUCAUUAUUCAGACAAAAUAUAAUAAAAAAAAGUAUUCACGUGUGGUUAGCGUGGAAUAGAGUCAUUUGUUUAACGCGAUGACGAUGAUCCUAUUAAUGGAAUGUCUUUAUUUUCAGUGUUAGUAUUGACAUUUACAUUCAUUACCACUAGUGUUCCCUCGCCGACACUUCACCUUUUUUGGUACAAGACUUACGCAAUUGUGACCCUUCAAUGUUACUUUUUUAUUAGACAAGGAGAAAGAGGAGAAAGAGUAGGAGGGGGAUGAAGAGGAAUUAGAGGAAGAGUACGAAGAUAAGGACGAUACGAGAAGAGGGGAUAUAAUAUAACAAUGGGUAUUAUUAGAAAGGUCGUUCAGUCUCUAUACAAAGCGUCACCACAACCACAACAAAUACCA
RNAcentral lists this unclassified non-coding RNA (6047 nucleotides) under Portunus trituberculatus (swimming crab). Its description in RNAcentral is "uncharacterized LOC123516607, transcript variant X6". Lineage: Eukaryota; Metazoa; Arthropoda; Malacostraca; Decapoda; Portunidae. The record is from RNAcentral.